AUGUCGUAGUAAUGUAGCAGUAAGUUGAUAGUAGUAAGUUAGUAGUAAGUGUGUG
This 55-nucleotide small RNA is filed under the name Plasmodium falciparum 3D7. RNAcentral describes it as "Pfa-starR6498". The record is from RNAcentral. Lineage: Eukaryota; Apicomplexa; Aconoidasida; Haemosporida; Plasmodiidae.